CCCUUAGAUGUUCUGGGCUGCACGCGCGCUACACUGAUGCGUUCAACGAGUUUUCAUCCUUGCCCGGUAGGGUUGGGUAAUCUUCUGAAAACGCAUCGUGAUGGGGAUAGAUUAUUGUAAUUAUUAAUCUUCAACGAGGAAUUCCUAGUAAGCGCGAAUCAUCAGUUCGUGCUGAUUACGUCCCUGCCCUUUGUACACACCGCCCGUCGCUCCUACCGAUUGGGUGUGCUGGUGAAAUGUUCGGAUCGGCCGUUUGUCGCGGUUUCCGCGUCAUGUGGCUGAGAAGUUCAUUAAACCCUCCCACCUAGAGGAAGGAGAAGUCGUAACA
This 328-nucleotide ribosomal RNA is filed under the name uncultured eukaryote. Its description in RNAcentral is "partial 18S ribosomal RNA". It matches the Rfam family "Eukaryotic small subunit ribosomal RNA", at positions 1470 to 1796 of the family's 1831-position model. The record is from RNAcentral.